This 529-nucleotide ribosomal RNA is filed under the name uncultured bacterium. RNAcentral's name for it is "partial 16S ribosomal RNA". It matches the Rfam family "Bacterial small subunit ribosomal RNA", at positions 355 to 900 of the family's 1533-position model. The record is from RNAcentral.
UGGGGAAUAUUGCACAAUGGGCGAAAGCCUGAUGCAGCAACGCCGCGUGAGUGAUGAAGGUCUUCGGAUUGUAAAGCUCUGUCUUUUGGGACGAUAAUGACGGUACCAAAGGAGGAAGCCACGGCUAACUACGUGCCAGCAGCCGCGGUAAUACGUAGGUGGCGAGCGUUGUCCGGAUUUACUGGGCGUAAAGGGUGCGUAGGCGGAUGUUUAAGUGAGAUGUGAAAUACCCGGGCUUAACUUGGGUGCUGCAUUUCAAACUGGAUAUCUAGAGUGCAGGAGAGGAGAAUGGAAUUCCUAGUGUAGCGGUGAAAUGCGUAGAGAUUAGGAAGAACACCAGUGGCGAAGGCGAUUCUCUGGACUGUAACUGACGCUGAGGCACGAAAGCGUGGGUAGCAAACAGGAUUAGAUACCCUGGUAGUCCACGCCGUAAACGAUGAGUACUAGGUGUAGGAGGUAUCGACCCCUUCUGUGCCGCAGUAAACACAUUAAGUACUCCACCUGGGAAGUACGAUCGCAAGAUUAAAAC